Parus major (Great Tit) is the source of this 7686-nucleotide long non-coding RNA. RefSeq lists it as uncharacterized. The record is from RefSeq and is a predicted model, not a curated record. NCBI's taxonomy places the organism in Eukaryota, Metazoa, Chordata, Aves, Passeriformes, Paridae. The transcript has 5 exons.
AUCCAAAUUUCCUGUAUGAUCUGUUCCCUGCGCUCAAUUCUUUCAGCCAGUUCUGCUGCCUCUGCUGAGUUAUAACCUGAGUAACAAGGACACAGUUGCAUUCUAUGUGUGCCUCAGCUGCCUCUGCACACUCAUCAAUCACUUCUCAGUGACAACACCUGGGCGAGGCAUGGAUAAUGGGAGGGACAAGAGGCCAGGACAGGGUCCCCAUCCCAAGCCAGACAGUGCUCUCAGCUGUAUUUGCACUGCUCCACCAAGGCAUUUUUUUUCCCUCUGAUGAUUGGCCCAGUGUAUCUCCCUGGGAGUUCUUGAGUCAGUGCUUUACCAAAGUCUGAUAUCUGACAUCUGCCCCUGCCAAACUACAGUGGUCAUUAAACUGGCAGCAAGCACCCUGAAGCUGCAGACACAGCAGAGAGCUAAGGAGCUGGAGGCUGUUCCUGGACAAUAGCAGACCUCCAAGUCCUGGACCCCUGCAUGUCAGGGAAGACUUCACUAGCUCCUGGAUGGCCAAGGAGAUUCCCUUUCCCUGAAGAGCAGGGCAGAGGGAGGGCUGGAACACAACUCGCACGGACGGAGUGAGGUCAUGGCUCUAUGUGCACUUGGGCUGGGCAGUCAGAAGACUUGUGAGUUUUGGGGUUUCUUAUCCUGAGCAAAGAGAAUCAUAACCAGACCCUAUGAAAAACCUUAGAUGACUGAGUGUUUUAAACCUAAUAUUGGAGUUUUUUCAUUGUUUUCUGGGAUGGGUAAUGAAGGGGGAGAUGGUAUUCAGCUGCACCAAUUACUUUUCCAAGUGUCAUUCUGUAAUGAGGAAGACUAUAAAAGUUCCUUUUUUUUCAGAAAUAAUAAAUGUCACUCUUUAAAACAAUAUGAAACUAUACCAAAAAAGUUAACUACCAUGAGAAUUGCCUAAAUUAGAAGACCUUGGCAAUACUGCAGUGUCCCAUUAACAUCUCUACACCGCUGUGUGAAAGCCCUGCUAGGUGCUUUCCCAUUUAUCCAGGACACCCACUCAUAAACAAUGAAGUAUGAGGUGUUCUGCAUCUAGAAUCAUGUACAAGAUGUUAGAGAAUGGCUCAGAAGUUAAGCAUAAAGCACACAGGAACAAAAAGAUCCGAUUGAUUUGGAGGCCAGAAGGUAUCAUCCCACCCAGCUAUCUAAUGCAGACUACACAGUCAUUGUAAUUUUUUACUGAGACUCAAAACACCAGCACAGAAUCCAAGCAUAAUCCUUUCUUCCCGAAUUACCCAAAUUAGUCACAGCAUCCACUGUGUUGAUGAACUUUAUCUAAAAGAACAUAGAGCACCACAGAACCACACAAAACACUGAGGCUGAGCAGCUGAACAAAACUUUGAGCCUUACUGAUCACUUUUUACUGAAAAGAAGGACUGAUAAACAAUUAAAAAGAUGACUGACAAAAAUAACUGGCAUAGGAGUUUGAUUUUGUAUGAAAAAAGAAUUCUGAAGAGGUUAUAGCUUCUCAUACUUAACCACCUGCUCCUGGCAUAAUGAAUAGCAAUGAUAAGGGUAUCAGUGGUCCUGAAGGUAUGGAAAUACAGAUUUAAAAAAAAACCAAAACUAUUUUUUUUCACUUUAAACCACUGAAAAUCUGGGAACUUAGAAAGUUCUGUGUAUGUUCUGUUUAGUUCAACUUCUCUGCCCUGGCAUGAGCUCCCCAGAUGCAUGGAUCAAGAAGAAGAGUAUUUCAGGCUGUGAGCCCAAUGCCCAGUACACACUAAAAGCAAUCCCAGCAUUGGCUCAGGUAAUGUCUUUUGGGUAAGAAAGCAGCUUUGCAAUGCAGUAUUUUUAGAGGCAGAGGCUGAGUAGUCAAGUUGUGAAGGUUCUCAGAACUGGGCCUUCAUACAGAUUUAGUAACAUCAAUUCCUGUGCAUCGUUCAAUUUAGUUUAAUUAGCACAGAAAUUUGCUAGCUCAUUUUAAAGACACACCAAUCUAUUUGAGAUCAAAAUAGAUCAAAAUAGCACACAUAUUGUUGUGGGAGUCCCGGAAGGCUAAUCCAUCUGGUAAAUCUCCAUCAGCUCCCACAGUUCUGUGAAGAAUUGUGCCAACACUCAUUAAAAAUACACAAGCCAGAUUGGUGAUUUUGAAGGAAGAGAUUUUGUGCAGUGAUAACAGAAUAGUUAAUAAACUCUAAUACAAAACACCAUUAGAAGCACAACUCUGAUAUUGAUUGGUGUUUGGGAUCCAGCUGCAGUACUUCUCCAGCAAUAUUUUUUCUGUUGGUUUGUGAAGGGAGCAUUGAGAAAAAAUUAACUCCGGAUUUUCAGCCCCAAUCCUAUCUGCCAUACCCUCUUGCUGGUUUCGAGGCAGCUAUGCCACAGAUCAUACUGUGCCAGGGUUACUCUGUCCAUAGGGACAAGGAUCUGCCUCUUGACAUUCCCUUUCACCUGGUUGUCAGCAAAUGCUGCCCGUGGCAGCUCUUUUUUAGGAUUAGUAAUUGAGGAGGGCAAAAUGUUACCCAGGAAAGAGACUGUUUUUAGAAUUCAUGACACUAUGUUUCUUGCUUCAUCAUUUUAUUCGUUUUUAUCUAAGUGCCUUGUAAACAUCCUGUUUGACUCAUUCUAGCCACACUCCGUAUCAGUCUUUAAUCAGUAAGAAAUACACUUAGAUAGAAGCAUUGUUUAUUCUUCUUGCUGUUCAGAAUAUUGCACGACAGCUUUACUCAGCAGAUGCACAUAAAAAUCUUUAAUUCCUUAAUAUAUGCCUUCUUGUGUAGUCACCAAUAUGAUUUAAUUUCCUUCCAUGGCUUGUUUUUUCAGCGUGCCUUUCUCCAUUCUUCCUCUCAACUCUUGCUCUCUUUGCUUGUGACUACUAUCUUACCAACUUCAACCUUUCACUUGUACUGCAAAGAUGGCAUGAAAAGUUGGAUUUCUGUGCAAGUAAAAUAUUUUUGCCUAUAAUCACUCUAUUUCUUGUACUAUCUAAAUCUUCCUUUAAGCAAGGCUAGAUGUUUACCUGGAAAAACUAGGGAUAAUCUAAUUUCACUAAUAAGAUAGUGACCACAAAACCCUGUUCCAUUUCCAAAUGCCUACUUUGGUUUCAGAGCACUCAGAGCUGUUGCAUUUCUUAGAAUUGGUCCUUGAGAGUUUUCAGGUGCCCAUUUCUAAAGGAAAUUAAGCUUAUGAGAUCCUGACCUCUGUCCAUCUGUCAUUCCCAUACUCAACACCUUUUAAGCUUAAUGGCCAGUUUCAAACCUGAAGGAUGCAGGGCUCAAAGAAAUAAAUUUCCUACAAGUUUCAUGGAAAUUGAAGCCUGAGCUGUGACUUUCAAUUCAGUCUCAAUGACUAAAGCUGCAAGUGAAUUGGCAGCUGGAGAGACAGAAUGGUUAUCCUGGAGAGCCAUCAGCCUGAUGCCAAUGGAGCAAUUUGUUUCCACUGGCCUUACUGACAGAUGAAGGAUUAAGCCUGCAAGAAGAAAAUGCUUAAGUUAGUAGAGAGGAUGCUUUCGGGAUAGUAUGGCAAUCAAGCAGUGGUCGAGAUACCAGUCAGGUUUUCCAUGAACUGUUUUAUCCACAUGUAUGCUUUCCUAAGGAGGUUACCUUCAUUUUUUUUUCCCCCUCAUGGAUCACAACAUGAAUCAUAACCGUCUUACUGAAUCUAAUUCCCACAGUGUGUUAAAUCUUAGGGUCAAAUUAAGAAAUUAAGCAAAUUGCACAAGAGCUUGGUUCCACUUAAGCAAGAGAAAAGGCCAAGUAAGCAGCAGGUAAUUCAGCACAAAACCUUAUUCACACUCCCAUUUAAACAGGGUUUAUUCAGAAAGCAGCAGCACACACAAGAAGCCAAGCUGUGAGCUCUUCCUAGAAAAACAAAGCCAAGACAUAUGGAUAAAGCACAGACCUGUAACUUUUUGGUCCCAGUUUCUCCAGGAAACCACACAGCCUCUUCCUUUCUCUGUGCCACUCAGCUCAGACUUGCAGUUAAGUGAGUGACAUUUUUCCAGAGUGGGAAAGCCCAUGAAUCCUGCACUUACAUACCACAUACCUGUUCUGUUUCUCACAUCCUCCCACAGGUGUUCUCUAUCCUUCAGAUCUACAUUUUCACAUUCCCUUGUGUUGUCUCCUAGGAGUGAUGCCUGGUUUAUUGCAUCCCAAUGGCUUUUUGAGGAAAUUGGGAUGCUGUGCACUUCUGUCUUCUCAUUUGCUUUCUGUUUUUAUUUCCUUCUUGUGUCAGAAAGAGGCAAAUUGUUCUUGAUCCCCAAAAUCUUGGGUAUGUAAUAAACUCCACCCUAUAGUCAGUUAUACUUCUCUCAGCUAUUCCAUGAAGCCAGAAGGGCAAACACUCGUCCUGGGACCUAAUAUGGAACUAUUCCAGUAGAAAAGGAAGAUUUGUUCCAUCCCAUCUACAGAAGCUGACAAGAAGCAUGGGUUAAGAGAGACUUUAAGGAUCUUUUCUGCCCUUGCCAAAAAUCCUCCUUUUAACUGGAGAAAGAGUAGCCUCUUCUAGUGCCAUUAACAAGAAGUAAUAAGAGAAAGGCUCUGUGGGCAGCAACUGUUUCUGGAGACAGAAUGAGAAGCUCUUUAUGACCAAAGACAAAAAACUUGUAAUAUCCCAAAGACUGAAAGUAGAAGAACCUCAGGAACUAGAGGAAAAUGUUUGUCUGAAAACUCAGAGUUAUGAUCAUGAUCCUCCAUGUUCAUGUUCCCCAAGAGAGCCAGGGGGCUGUUCAUUGCCAGCUAAGAAAACUAAGCACAGGUUUUGUUUUGUAAACAGAACUUAGAUGCAAGUUCUGCAUUUUUUUUGUAUCCCCACUUAUAUUUGACAUUCAAAAUAAAACUAGAAAAACAGAAAAAAAAUAGAAAAAAAAAUAAAUCAGAAAUCUGGCAGCUCAGAGACCUGCAGUGCUAUGAUGGUUUACAGUACAGUAAGUCCAAGCUAGAAAAGCAAAAACACACCCCCCCAUUUCACUCUCAGUGACUGAUGAUUUUCUUUACAACAUUUCUUUGUCCUCCACUCAGUACUAGCGUGAAGAAAUAAGAAGUUAAAAAUCACAAAAUUAUUCUGAAAUAAUAAUUCUUGUCUUCCCAUCUAAGAUUAAAUACAAUAAAGAAAAACAAACAGAUAUUUGUGGAUUGAGACCCUCAUCCAAAGCCCAGUGAAAUCCUUGGGAAUGCUUCCAGUGACCCUAGGCUUUCAUUUAGGUCUCAUAUAGUGAGUGAUGUUUUAAAAUUAAUUCUAAAUUAAGAGCCAAACCUCACUGGUAUUUAAUUUGUUGCCAGAAGCCACACAAUAGACCUUUGAAGCAAAACUCUUAAAAUGCCUAGAAAUUCAGAUUAAAUGACUCACCAAUGCUGAACAAAUAAGGCACAACCACGCCUCCUUCUGCUCUUCAGCUCUCUUAAGACACUAUUUUCUCUGUGUUGGGUAAUAUAGCAAAAUAUUUCAUUUUUAAUUGUAGAUUAUGGCUGGCAGAUGACAGAAUUCUGCUAAGUGGUGACUGGUCAGACAGUGCCUUCUCUGUCUGCGGACACUUCCAACAAAAGCUGAAUAUUUAUAUAGAAAAAGUCUGUAGUCCCUUUCUCCAACAAAGCUGAGACUGGAAGCUUUGCCUAACUGGGAAGGAUAUCAGCAGCAGGUGGAACAGGAAGGCAGGGGGGAUCUAAUCCCUGCUAUUUAUUUUAAAUAAAAAUAGCAUAUGGUGUGUCAGGUGCCAGCAAUCUGCCCAGGGAGAACAGAGAGAGUUCUGCCCCAAACUUCCUGCCCUGAAGUUGUGAAAAUCUGAUAGAACUCAAACAUGUUGGUCUCUAAGUGGUGAAGCUCAGGAACUCAGGUUUUGUGUCCCGUGUCUGAAUUCUCCAAUGUCUGUAGGGGCAAAAGCAUCACACUACCUUUUAAUUCAUUUUGGGAGAGCUUUGGGGGCAGCAUCCCUUCUUGGGGAUGAAGACCUAGCUUACUUAAAGGCCUCACAAAAUGUGUAAGAACUUGACAGGACUAAAGCUUUUACUUCUCUAACAAGGAUAAAUCUCAUCAGUGGAUUUAACAAAAAAUAUUAGCAAAUCUAAAAUGUGGUUUCCUAAGUUACACUUCCUCAGAAAGGCAAAAAGAACUGCAGGGACAAGCCUGAAACAAAACCUUGGGUCUGUGCAUCAUGAUCUAAACUAAAAUCUCAGUUCUGACACACACCUCUUUAUUCCACAGAACAAAUCUCAGACCAAAGCCCACUUCACUCGGAGAAACUUUAAACCAGACUUUGAGGUUUAACUCACACAUUACUAAAAUUAAACACAUUUCAAAAAUGAAAUGUUUUUCUUUAAAUAAAUCAAUGAACACUUGACUUUUACAAGGCAGUAUUGAGAUGAUGCAUCAUUGCAUCACUCCUUCUAGCACUUCUUUAAAUAUCCUGGUUGAAGGACAUGCUACAAUUGCCAGAGUGAGUCAACAAAACUGACUCAAGAAAAUUUAUAUAGAAUUUUAUCUGACCAACACAAAGCCAACAAAAAAAAGCCUCUGCAUCAUUGUGGUUGGUAGUGAUUGAUCCUGCCACGUUACUACAAACAAAGCAUUUGCUCAAAGCAUUUGUUUGCUUUCCUUUUACCUGGGGGAAUCUGGGAUGGGUGAAUGCCACAGAACUUAAUGGAAACUUUUAAUGCAGAAAGGUUACAGGAGCAGAUUAUAUUUCUUGGGUGAACUGGUUUACUUUUUCAUUAGAUCCACUUGUUUCUGUGGUUGGGUCAGGAGACCAAGUCUAUGGAGUUAGAGUGAUGCUCAGUUCUGUCUGAACUGUUUUGGAGGAAAAGACAGAAAACUUGACACCAGAGGAAGAGAUUAAAAGGUUCUACCCCUAAGCAGUGGCUGCUUUCUGUUCACAUCCAGAAAGUAAUUUCUCACUCCAGUUAUGCAAUCACAAUUACUUCAUUUUUGAUCUUCAGUUACAGCCACAUUUCUUGAAAGCUGCCCAGAAAACCUGGCUGGGACUCAGGUAAAGAAAGAGAGACUGGUGAGUGAGCCGAGGAGGCGAGGUCAAGCCUGAGCUCAGAGCAGCAAGGAGAACAGAGAAAGAAGGAAGGAGCAUUAAAAAAUGGUGAAUGGGUGUUCCUCAGUGUUGCCAGAGAGGAGUUUGUUCCCAGAUGGGUCAGUUCACUUUGUCAGCAGAGAGGGAAAAGGUGGGAGAAGGAGUGGGGAUAGGAUGGAGAGCUGAGGCCUUUUCCCACUGCCAGCAUGGAGAGCAAGAGGAUGAGAGCAGAUGAGGAAUAGUGAUCCUUGCCGUUGAGAAGGUACCCACAAAAUGCCACCAUCCCCAGCCAACCCAGCUCUCCUCCAGCAGCUGGGCUUUUUAUAACACCAGGACACCCACAGUGUGAAAUACUGGAAAGAAGUUUGCUGGUUUUUCCAGCUCCUUCUUUCACCUGUUUUGGGAACCAGUCCUUGAACAUAGAAGAGUUGUGAGGAAAUGGCUGUCAUGAGGCCUUGAUGUCCUGAAAAAUGGCUCUUCUGACACUGUCCUGGGAGCCCAGAGUAUUCAGAGACUGGAGAAGCAGCAAAAUUCACAGCAGCCCCCUGGAAUGGGACCUAAUCCAAAAUGUGAAAGCUACGAGUGAUCACUGAGAAAAUAAAGAAAUAUUUUAGUAAAGGAUGUGUUUUGAAGAAACAGGCAUGAGGGGAAGAAAAUUCUGUAGUUGUAGGAUCAUGAUGGUCUAAGGAAAGAACUGUGGAUUAAAUCUCUCUCCUUCCAAA